AGCAGCAGCCGCGGUAAUACAGAGGGUGCAAGCGUUAAUCGGAAUUACUGGGCGUAAAGCGCGCGUAGGUGGUUUGUUAAGUUGGAUGUGAAAUCCCCGGGCUCAACCUGGGAACUGCAUCCAAAACUGGCAAGCUAGAGUAUGGUAGAGGGUGGUGGAAUUUCCUGUGUAGCGGUGAAAUGCGUAGAUAUAGGAAGGAACACCAGUGGCGAAGGCGACCACCUGGACUGAUACUGACACUGAGGUGCGAAAGCGUGGGGAGCAAACAGGAUUAGAUACCCCGGUAGUCCCUGUCUCUUAUAC
Molecule: ribosomal RNA, 303 nt
Filed under: uncultured bacterium
Lineage: Bacteria
Description: partial 16S ribosomal RNA
Rfam family: Bacterial small subunit ribosomal RNA
Source: RNAcentral